This is a small nuclear RNA of Monodelphis domestica (gray short-tailed opossum), 128 nucleotides long. NCBI's taxonomy places the organism in Eukaryota, Metazoa, Chordata, Mammalia, Didelphimorphia, Didelphidae. The record is from RefSeq and is a predicted model, not a curated record.
AUGUUGUAUGAAGGUAGAGAAAAGUAGCACAACCCUUGAAGAGAAUGGAAGGAGUCCCGAUGGCCUUUAGAACACACAUAUGGUUCUGGCAUCAUUGCCUACUCUGUGGCAUCAAACCAUGUUUUUGG